CUCGGGCCGGGGCUACCGGGCCCGCAGUUGCCGGGCAGCUGCCCCGAGGCCGGUCCGCCCCGGGCACCGCGCCCCACGGCCGGCCUCGCCGCGGGGUUUGCGUAGAAGCGAGCGGGGAGGAGAGGGGAGAGGGGAGAGGCAGCAGCGGAGGUACCGAGCCCUCCCGAGCGUCGCAGCAGUACGGGCCGUGCAACAUUGAGACUAUUAAUCCCCCGGGGGAGGAGGCCAUGAGUACAGGUAUCCGGAGGUGAAACCACUCAGGGUUUGUGCAAAGUAUUUGCCUAAUUUAUCCGUGGCUGCGCUUGUCUGUGAGAUAGGGCAGCCUACCACAUCAUGGAGCUAGCAAGGAUAAAUUAAUUCAGCAGCUACCUGUAGCUACCAGGGAAAACUCCACGCCAGCGUUAAAGCCAAGCUUGUCCACGCAGUGCUUCAGCGGGCACUGAGGGGUGUGGAACCGAUCACCAACCUCUGAGAGCAAAGAAUACAGCUGGUAGAGCCAUUACUUGAUAACUAACAUCCCUUCCGAGCACUGAUUAAAGAAUCCACACUGCAGGAAAAAAAACCACAACAGUGUGAUCACACAUUGCAAUUAAAGCAUGCACAGAGGGCAAAAUUCAGAUUGCACAGGCGACUAAUUCCAGGGUUUAACUAUAUGACCCUCCUAACAUUCUUUUAGCUUGAAAAGACUCUAAUUACAACAUACAGUAAAACAGUUGCUUAGGUAAACAAUUCCUCGAUAAAGCUGCUGAAUAAAAAAAGUUUUCCACUGGCUCUGGAAAGAUAGUUUCUGAACUAGAGGCUUUCUACAACAUACUCUACUCCCCAGAAAGGAUGAGCCAACUAUAGGGGUUACUUUUUUUUUUUGAUAGGUUGCUCCCCACUUUCCCACCCCCAAAAAGAUGCUGAGAUUGGGAACGUGGGGUCUGAGCACAGCAUGUACCACAGUAUCAAGACAUAGGAUGCAGAGUUCGCAUUUGGGCUUAUGUAAAUGAAUAAAGAAGUGACCUCUCACUCCCACUUGCUGAGAGCAUCAACAUACACAGCUUCAAAGGUGGUUUUGAAAACUGUCAGAGCUUAAAUUGGAGCCCAGGGGCCUCUGCCUCAAACAAAAGAGCAACUAGGAACUAUUGGGAGAGCUAUUGAACUUCGAGAGGGUUCAUAGUCAGAAAAUAUUUGCUCUAGCUUUGAUUCAUAUCUGUUCUCUCUAUUGGCAAACAUGAGUUAAAAGCUUGUGAACUGACACAGUAAUGAAAGAAUGAGCUAGUGUGGUCUCAUAUGUUCUGUGUGCAUUGUCAGCAAAUUUAACUACAGCAAAAAUCUUUCUGGUGAUAAUGCAAGACACAGAAAGAGCCCAGAAAGCAAUGACAUCUCAGGUGGAGCAGAGGCUGCAACAAGAAAAAUCCAAGCCUGAGUGGAGAACAAAAGUGAUCAUUAAUUUGUAGAUGUUAACAUGAUGCAAAGUUUUGAGGCCAAAUUCUUUAAGGCUUCUAAUCAAUCAAGAGGAAAAAUCUAACAUCUGAGUACUUUAGGUACUCUCAGUAUCAAAGAUAAAACAGGGUGGGUGUAAUUCCCUUGAGCAUGAGUAGGAACUGCUUGGUGGUUGCUGGAAUCUGAUGUCACAUCCCAGCUCUAACAGAAGGAACCUCUGGCCUUGAGUAAGCCCUUGCUUCAUCAGCACUGGUGUUUCACAGGCAGAUCACCUUCUUGACAAACUUCUGAAAUGUAAGCAAUUUCUUUACAACGAUGUGGCUUAACCCUACGUUCCACGUGCUUCAGCCUCUGUGUCUGCUGAACCACAGGCUGAGGAAGCUUUCCUGCUAAAGCUCUCCAAGAUGUCUCACUGCAUCCUUUCUGUAGUUUUCAUAUUUGUUCCUAAGCCCAUUCUCCUCAGACAUGAUAAUCUGCAAUCAUCAUGAACUACAAUACACAACUGCCAAUUUAAGAAUUUUGUAUCUGUUGCAAUUUUUUUUUUAAAUGGCAUCUGGCACAAUAAUUGUAAUAAAAUACAUUGCUAAUAU
Harpia harpyja (harpy eagle) is the source of this 2018-nucleotide long non-coding RNA. RefSeq lists it as uncharacterized. The transcript has 2 exons. NCBI's taxonomy places the organism in Eukaryota, Metazoa, Chordata, Aves, Accipitriformes, Accipitridae. The record is from RefSeq and is a predicted model, not a curated record.